RNAcentral lists this ribosomal RNA (254 nucleotides) under uncultured bacterium. RNAcentral describes it as "partial 16S ribosomal RNA". It matches the Rfam family "Bacterial small subunit ribosomal RNA", at positions 524 to 776 of the family's 1533-position model. The record is from RNAcentral.
UACGGGGGGAGCAAGCGUUGUUCGGAUUUACUGGGCGUAAAGGGCGCGUAGGCGGCCUCCGCAAGUCAGUUGUGAAAUCUCCGAGCUUAACUCGGAAAGGUCAACUGAUACUGCGGGGCUAGAGUGCGGAAGGGGCAACUGGAAUUCUUGGUGUAGCGGUGAAAUGCGCAGAUAUCAGGAGGAACACCGGUGGCGAAGGCGGGUCUCUGGGCCGAUACUGACGCUGAGGAGCGAAAGCGUGGGGAGCAAACAGG